Molecule: unclassified non-coding RNA, 944 nt
Filed under: Hevea brasiliensis (rubber tree)
Lineage: Eukaryota; Viridiplantae; Streptophyta; Magnoliopsida; Malpighiales; Euphorbiaceae
Source: RNAcentral
GAAAUAGAUGAAAGGAGAAGAAAAAAGAGAAGAUUGGGUUGAAGCCAUGAAGAAAUGGAUAAGAGAAGAAGAAAUAAAAAGAAGAUUUGAGGUAAAAGAAGCUUUAAAUAGGGAGUAAAGAGCAACAAAUAAAAAUUUGUAAAAGAAGCUUUAAAUAGGGAGUAAAGAGCAACAAAUAAAAAUUUGUAAUAGAAAUUGAAGAAAGUCAAACUUUCUAACAAAUAAUAGAACCAUCAAGCAAAAGCCAAGCAAAGAUCAAACAACAAUGCAUAAGUAGUAGAAACUAAAUUCUAGAGACUAGUUAAAACAAUAGCAAGAGAGGUGAGCAAGCGAUAGACAACCACCAAGUCAAAGCAAGCAAGAUGAGGCAAACAGUAGACCCUGUGUAGAUUGAACAUGGUUAUUGUGAUGCUGAAUUGAUUGAAUGAUUUAAGGGACCCAAAUGAAGAAUAGGAGCGCGUAGGAGGCGCUUUACCAAGGUGAGGUGGCUAGAGUUGAUUCAAUUGGAAAAGGAUAGUUGAUGGCUUCUCACGUGUUGGUGCAUAUACUGGGAAGCAAAAGUUUGUGGCGGCGCAUGGCGGACUGUGAAGGACUUUUUGGUGAUUGGUUUGGGAGAGAAGGCCGAUUGGCGAUUGGCAAGGCUAUUGAAUAGAGAGGUGAGGUCAAUUGCUUUCCAGAAGACCUUAAAUUGGGAAUGGUAGUACCGUUUCUUAGAAACAAGUAAGGGAAAAAAAUUUUACGAAGGAAAUUAGACCUUUCAUGACCCAAUUCCUGUGUCAAACCAACAUUAGGACUUGGGUAGGGUUAAGGUCACCAAAGCCCAUAGUGAGCUUUUAUUAUUUUAAGUUAAUUCUAUAUCAUGAAUAGUACCUAAAGUAUCAUUAAUAAUAAUGAUAAAUACAAUGAAAAGAACUAAAUAUUUUCUAGCUUUAAAACCACACAAC